UCCUAGCCCUGAUGGGAACGGCAUCCUUUUAUGGUGGGGUUCACCAUAAAAGAUAUAGUGGACAGCAGGAAACAGC
RNAcentral lists this small RNA (76 nucleotides) under Flavobacterium aquidurense. RNAcentral describes it as "Flavo-1 RNA". It matches the Rfam family "Flavo-1 RNA". The record is from RNAcentral. Lineage: Bacteria; Pseudomonadati; Bacteroidota; Flavobacteriia; Flavobacteriales; Flavobacteriaceae.